Molecule: ribosomal RNA, 493 nt
Filed under: uncultured bacterium
Lineage: Bacteria
Description: bacterial SSU rRNA
Rfam family: Bacterial small subunit ribosomal RNA
Source: RNAcentral
AAAUGAAUAGACGGGGCCCCGCACAAGCGGCGGAGCAUGCGGAUUAAUUCGAUGCAACGCGAAGAACCUUACCUGGGUUUGACAUAUAUCGGAAACGUUCAGAGAUGGGCGCCCCGUAAGGUCGGUAUACAGGUGGUGCAUGGCUGUCGUCAGCUCGUGUCGUGAGAUGUUGGGUUAAGUCCCGCAACGAGCGCAACCCUCGUCCAAUGUUGCCAGCGGGUUAUGCCGGGGACUCAUUGGAGACCGCCGGGGUCAACUCGGAGGAAGGUGGGGAUGACGUCAAGUCAUCAUGCCCCUUAUGUCCAGGGCUUCACGCAUGCUACAAUGGCCGGUACAAAGAGUUGCGAGCCUGUGAGGGUGAGCGAAUCUCAAAAAGCCGGUCUCAGUUCGGAUUGGGGUCUGCAACUCGACCCCAUGAAGUCGGAGUCGCUAGUAAUCGCAGAUCAGCAACGCUGCGGUGAAUACGUUCCCGGGGCUUGUACACACCGCCCGU